This 444-nucleotide ribosomal RNA is filed under the name uncultured organism. RNAcentral describes it as "partial 16S ribosomal RNA". It matches the Rfam family "Bacterial small subunit ribosomal RNA", at positions 335 to 796 of the family's 1533-position model. The record is from RNAcentral.
ACUCCUGCGGGAGGCAGCAGUGGGGAAUAUUGGACAAUGGGCGCAAGCCUGAUCCAGCCAUGCCGCGUGAGUGAUGAAGGCCCUAGGGUUGUAAAGCUCUUUCACCGGUGAAGAUAAUGACGGUAACCGGAGAAGAAGCCCCGGCUAACUUCGUGCCAGCAGCCGCGGUAAUACGAAGGGGGCUAGCGUUGUUCGGAUUUACUGGGCGUAAAGCGCACGUAGGCGGACUAUUAAGUCAGGGGUGAAAUCCCGGGGCUCAACCCCGGAACUGCCUUUGAUACUGGUAGUCUUGAGUUCGAGAGAGGUGAGUGGAAUUCCGAGUGUAGAGGUGAAAUUCGUAGAUAUUCGGAGGAACACCAGUGGCGAAGGCGGCUCACUGGCUCGAUACUGACGCUGAGGUGCGAAAGCGUGGGGAGCAAACAGGAUUAGAUACCCGUGUAGUCC